Molecule: non-coding RNA, 74 nt
Organism: Dama dama (fallow deer)
Lineage: Eukaryota; Metazoa; Chordata; Mammalia; Artiodactyla; Cervidae
Source: the annotation of a RefSeq genome assembly
UCCCUGGUGGUCCAGUGGUUUAAGACUCCUCACCCCCAAUGCAGGGGCCCUGGGUUCGAUCCCCAGUCAGGGAA